AGAAUGGCUCAGUUGGUAGAGCAACGCAUUCGUAAUGCGUGGGUCGAGGGUUCGAGUCCCUUUUCU
RNAcentral lists this transfer RNA (66 nucleotides) under chicken gut metagenome. It matches the Rfam family "tRNA". From Rfam's summary of the family: Transfer RNA (tRNA) molecules are approximately 80 nucleotides in length. Their secondary structure includes four short double-helical elements and three loops (D, anti-codon, and T loops). The record is from RNAcentral.